RNAcentral lists this long non-coding RNA (209 nucleotides) under Musa acuminata (dwarf banana). Its description in RNAcentral is "long non-coding RNA (MACU_LNC000435)". Lineage: Eukaryota; Viridiplantae; Streptophyta; Magnoliopsida; Zingiberales; Musaceae. The record is from RNAcentral.
GGGCACUUGAGUGGGUGGUCACUUCACAUAAACCCAUGCUUCCUAUGUCCUUGGAUCUUAUCAAGGCCUCUCAGUUGGGGCACAUGCCUCCCCCUCCCUCUCCUCUUCCUCUGCUGCGCCAGCAGGAACCAAGUUCUCUUCCAAGGAACGGCAGGGCUGCCUCCAUCUCACUGUGCUCAUUUGACCACUUCCUUCUUCUUUCCUUUCUC